This 76-nucleotide transfer RNA is filed under the name Salmonella enterica subsp. enterica serovar Bovismorbificans. Its description in RNAcentral is "tRNA-Asn". It matches the Rfam family "tRNA". From Rfam's summary of the family: Transfer RNA (tRNA) molecules are approximately 80 nucleotides in length. Their secondary structure includes four short double-helical elements and three loops (D, anti-codon, and T loops). Lineage: Bacteria; Pseudomonadati; Pseudomonadota; Gammaproteobacteria; Enterobacterales; Enterobacteriaceae. The record is from RNAcentral.
GCUGAUAUGGCUCAGUUGGUAGGGCGCACGCUUGUUAAGGAUGAGGUCCCCAGUUCGACUCUGGGUAUCAGCACCA